Long non-coding RNA from Tympanuchus pallidicinctus (lesser prairie-chicken), 944 nucleotides. RefSeq lists it as uncharacterized. The transcript is spliced from 2 exons. The record is from RefSeq and is a predicted model, not a curated record. NCBI's taxonomy places the organism in Eukaryota, Metazoa, Chordata, Aves, Galliformes, Phasianidae.
UUUCUUUUUGUUUUAGAUUUGACUUUUGUCAUGCAUUAUAGUAAGAGAAUACCGUAGACAUCAACACUUCCAAUAAAUGUGCAGUGAGCAAAAUCCCUGAAAAAAGCAGUUACUGUUCCUCAUGCUGAGUGGACUGCCAAGCAAAUGGUGUCUUUGCCUGAAUCAUCAAGAGAUCUCCUUAGUCUCAGUUUUUGCAAGAGUCCUCAAAUCGUCACAGGAUGUCAUGCAACUUUCUCAUUCACUCCUCAAAGUCAUCUGUCAGAUGUUAAGUGAAAUGCUCCGGAGCAAUAUUAUACAAACUUAAGGAAGGACAAAAGUAGCACACAACAUGAGAAUAUACAGUUCUCAGUUUCAUUGUUAUUUUGCUUUUUGUGGUUUGUUGCUGUAAUAUGAUAUCUGCUCUCAUUACACAAAAAUUAAUGGCAAAACUUCCCUUCCUAAGAUGAGACUAGCAAUUUCCAGGAAUUCCACAUCAACAGCAGCAGGCAAAACCCCAAUUUCUAGACAAGUUGAAAAGUUGGCAAAAAUAACCAAUUGUAUUUUUAGCAUUUAUUCUUCCAUCUUAUAAGAAACGUUUAUUAUAAAUAGCCAGCUCCCACUGAAUCCCAGGGCUAUGGAUCAAAUUUUACCUCACUGUUAUUGCUGCAAAACCAGUAUAAUUCCAUUUAUUGUAAGAGAUUUAUGUCUAAUUUGUAGCAUGUGUUUUGCAUCAAGGCCAAAAUUUGACAGCACAGUGAAUUUGCCUGAUAUGCCAUCAUGUACAAAUAGUGCAGGGACCUGGCUACAACCUGGCUGUGUAAUUAUUGCUUGGCCAAUUAGAUACUGACUCUAGGGAACCUGCUUUAUCAAGGGGGGCGGACAGGAUAAUCUCCUGUGAUCUCUUCCAAUGCCUGUACUUCUGUGAUACUCUUGACUGCUGGAAAUAAAACUAAUGAGCAACUGAA